GGCCCCAUGGUCAAGAGGUCAAGACGCCACCCUCUCAAGGUGGAAUCAGGGGUUCAAUUCCCCUUGGGGCUG
RNAcentral lists this transfer RNA (72 nucleotides) under Clostridium tetanomorphum. It matches the Rfam family "tRNA". Rfam says of the family: Transfer RNA (tRNA) molecules are approximately 80 nucleotides in length. Their secondary structure includes four short double-helical elements and three loops (D, anti-codon, and T loops). The record is from Rfam by way of RNAcentral. Lineage: Bacteria; Bacillati; Bacillota; Clostridia; Eubacteriales; Clostridiaceae.